Molecule: ribosomal RNA, 241 nt
Filed under: uncultured bacterium
Lineage: Bacteria
Description: partial 16S ribosomal RNA
Rfam family: Bacterial small subunit ribosomal RNA
Source: RNAcentral
GAUCCUGGCUCAGGACGAACGCUGGCGGCGUGCUUAACACAUGCAAGUCGAACGAAGAACGAUGGAAGCUUGCUUCUAUCAAUCUUAGUGGCGAACGGGUGAGUAACGCGUAAUCAACCUGCCCUUCAGAGGGGGACAACAGUUGGAAACGACUGCUAAUACCGCAUACGAUCUAAUCUCGGCAUCGAGGAAAGAUGAAAGGUGGCCUCUAUUUAUAAGCUAUCACUGAAGGAGGGGAUUG